Molecule: long non-coding RNA, 279 nt
Filed under: Homo sapiens (human)
Lineage: Eukaryota; Metazoa; Chordata; Mammalia; Primates; Hominidae
Description: HSALNT0018785
Source: RNAcentral
CCAGCCUGGACGACAUAGUGAGACCAUGUCUCAAAAAAAAGUAAAAAAUUAGCUGGGUGUGGUGGCACAUGUCUAUAGUCCCAGCUACUCAGGAGACAGGCUGAGGUGGGAGGAUCACUUGAGUCCAGGAGUUUGAGGCUGCAGUGAAGCAUGAUCAUGCACCACACUCUAAGUGGGACGACAGGGUAAGACCCUGUUGCCCGCAAAAAAAAUCUAUGUGUUCCUAACAGUGCUAGAUACUUGGGAUAUAGUGAUAUAGGGAGGAAAGAAUUGAGCAAC